Molecule: long non-coding RNA, 663 nt
Organism: Dioscorea cayenensis subsp. rotundata (Guinea yam)
Lineage: Eukaryota; Viridiplantae; Streptophyta; Magnoliopsida; Dioscoreales; Dioscoreaceae
Exons: 3
Source: RefSeq, a predicted model, not a curated record
UCCUCGAUCUUGUUCGCCCUUCUCAAUAGACCUCUUUCCUUCGUCUUCUUUUUACCCAUCUUACCUUUCAAUACCGCCAACCCAUUAUCCAAAAAAUUAUCACCAAUUUGUGGCACAUAGCAAUAAGCGAACCUCUUUCUUCGUCUUGCUCCCUUUUGAGGUCCACUAAUUUCCCCCAAUUCCUUCCCAAAUCCAUCACUACAGUGUUCUCCUUUGUUCUCGAGGAUAAUAAUUCGUUCCCUAAUCUAGACUAGAUGUGAAGGACCAAAAGCGGAUGGAGGUACAUUCUCCAAGAUGGGAUAAUUCAUCUUAAUUCUUUUCAUUAAGGUGUGAUAUUUAUGCCUGCAUUCAUUUCCAUACUUAACCAACUAGCUCUUGCACAUUGAAACGUUGGCUUUCUGGGGAAAAUCUUCAAUUUUCUCUUAAGCCUUCCUUUUAAGAAGUAUCUUUCAAUGGCUAAUAAAUUUCCAUUGUGUUCAGCACAAAUUUAUAUAGAACUGAUCAAUGAUUCAUAUGACUUAUAAUUUCUAACUAAGCUUUUAAAGAACUUUUCUGCUUGGCAUUUCGCUUUAUUGCUAUGACUUCUUGAUUUGGAUUGAUUUCAAACAUUGCUGACUCAACUGAGGUAAAAGCGUUGUGGAGACAAAGUUGGAUGAAAGAAAG